This 246-nucleotide long non-coding RNA is filed under the name Mytilus galloprovincialis (Mediterranean mussel). Lineage: Eukaryota; Metazoa; Mollusca; Bivalvia; Mytilida; Mytilidae. The record is from RNAcentral.
CAAAUAUUUCGGCUCAACAAAUGGCCUUCUUCAAGUGUCACAAGUUUUAACAAACUUUGCAAAAAUGAAGAAAAGGAAAAAACAUCCUUAAGAAGAGGAAGAAGAAGAUAAAAACAAGAACUUCAAUUUAACUGUUAUCAUUUCCUUAGUCCGAAAUCGACGUCGACGAGAACAGCAGUUCUUAAGGAUGUUUUUUCCUUUUCUUCAUUACGACAUUUAUUUUACCAUAUAACAAAAAGUUAUAUA